AAAACUUAAGGGUAGCUGGUAUAUUUAUGAAUUAUGAGUGAUGAUCAGUUAGUGCUUAUAUAAGCAUGGGUCAUAUUUUAUAUAUUUUAUAUAAGUAUAGGUCAUUCUUUCUUAAAAUAUUUAUAUAACUAUAGGUACUGAAUUUCAGUGAAUGUUAUAUUAAAUAUGGUACGUUUUUUGAGGCAAAAAUGGCACACCCCUACCA
This 205-nucleotide long non-coding RNA is filed under the name Mytilus galloprovincialis (Mediterranean mussel). The record is from RNAcentral. Lineage: Eukaryota; Metazoa; Mollusca; Bivalvia; Mytilida; Mytilidae.